CUCCUACGGGAGGCAGCAGUGGGGAAUUUUGGCGUCAAUGGGGGAAACCCUGGACGCAGCAACGCCGCGUGGAGGAUGAAGCCCUUGGGGUCGUAAACGUCCUUUCGACUGGGAAGAUUAUGACGGUACCAGUGGAAGAAGCACCGGCUAACUCUGUGCCAGCCGCCGCGGUAAUAC
RNAcentral lists this ribosomal RNA (177 nucleotides) under uncultured bacterium. RNAcentral describes it as "partial 16S ribosomal RNA". It matches the Rfam family "Bacterial small subunit ribosomal RNA", at positions 336 to 526 of the family's 1533-position model. The record is from RNAcentral.